This 255-nucleotide ribosomal RNA is filed under the name uncultured bacterium. RNAcentral describes it as "partial 16S ribosomal RNA". It matches the Rfam family "Bacterial small subunit ribosomal RNA", at positions 524 to 776 of the family's 1533-position model. The record is from RNAcentral.
AACGUAGGAGACAAACGUUAUCCGGAGUUACUGGGCGUAAAGGGCGCGUAGGUGGCCUGUGGAAGUCUGCGGUGAAAGCCCGGCGCUCAACGCCGGGUCGGCCGUGGAUACUCUCGGGCUUGAGCUUACUAGAGGCAGAUGGAAUUCCGGGUGUAGCGGUGGAAUGCGUAGAGAUCCGGAAGAACACCGGUGGCGAAGGCGGUCUGCUGGGGUAAUGCUGACACUGAUGCGCGACAGCGUGGGGGAGCAAACAGG